AUGACUACGUUGACAAAUACAUGGUCUACUGUAACACCCCAACCCCGCUAGGGCUGACGUGUCACUCUUACAGAUAUCAAAACUAAAACCAAUCCAUAACAUUAAAUAAAAUAUCCUAAUUACAUUUAUUACAGUACUGAAAUAUAGAAUCUUGACCAGCAACUUCCUAACGCUCAUCACUGAAAUCCCAGAUCAUCCCAUAUUACCUGUAAAACAAAUAGGAAAACACAAAAAGAAAAAAAUACGGCUGAGCCAAAAGUUGCUCAGUAACGGAGAAAUCAACAGUACCAGUAAAGUCAUAUCAGCAGAAGCAAAACACAAUAGAACGGAACAGAACUGAACUGAACUGAGACUGAACUAAAACAGUCAUUGACACGAUUACAAAAAAACAAAUGCAGGCACAUCACUAAUGCAGAAACUGAUACACGAACCGAUCUGAAACUGUGACGGAAACUAAAACAAAAACAAAAGUAAAUGCUAUACAUCACCGAUACCGAACCCAACCCAAAACUGAUGUUGAGACUGAUACAUUAUUGGCCAUAAUGACUAAAACGAUUUAUCUUGUAUAAACGAACUUAUUUUAAA
This 585-nucleotide long non-coding RNA is filed under the name Helianthus annuus (common sunflower). RNAcentral's name for it is "sRNA HanXRQr2_Chr12g0562441". Lineage: Eukaryota; Viridiplantae; Streptophyta; Magnoliopsida; Asterales; Asteraceae. The record is from RNAcentral.